Molecule: non-coding RNA, 1541 nt
Organism: Pelobates cultripes (western spadefoot toad)
Lineage: Eukaryota; Metazoa; Chordata; Amphibia; Anura; Pelobatidae
Source: the annotation of a GenBank genome assembly
CAAUCAUGAAUGUCCUCCCCCUUCAAUCAAUUCACCUACCCACCCACUAACCUCCCUUUAUCCGCCCCCACCAACAAGACCCUUGAGCGAGCAAUCAAUCCUGUUGGGGGGAAAGGGUUGCGAAGGGCAAUGAAAUCCAUUAAAAGGCCAGGGUGCCAUGGGCACAAUACGAUUUCCUUAGAAUGCGCUGCCUAUUCAGAAUUGUGGCUUUUCUUUACAGAAGGCGCCAGGCUGAGGAGGACGCUUGGGAUGCAGACCAGUGGGCACCGAAUGGAUGGGCUCCUGCUACAGCCAGGCAUCAGCCGUACUGCGAGACUGAAAAGCCCGUGUCCAUGGUGCUGAAAGUCAGCGUGAGCAGCGAUCGAUUGCAGGGGUAGAGAGAGAUCACAGCACUGUCACCUUCCUUACCCAUCCCAAUCACACCACGACCUCGUCACAAAUUGUACUUAAAAAUAGCAUGUUUAUUCCUAAAGACACAAAUCAGUUAACAUGCCAUCUGUUCCCUUUAAACCCCAACCGUGCCGGCGUUAAGAUCAUUAUGUUUACAGCUAAUAAGAAGUAUUUUCUUAAUUUCACUUAAACUCUAGAGUCAUUUACAUGCACAUUCAAUGCAUCUCUAGUUUGCAGCAACAAAUGCCAGAUUUUCAUUGUAAGAUCUCUUUCACUCCCUGUAUAUAGUCAACAAAGACUCUUAACCCACAGCUUGUUCUUUUUGAACAGUAACCACUAUUGUGUAAUCACAUGCUGGGUGAGAUAAUGCUCGCCUCAUUGUGUCACCCUGUUGAGGCUUAUGUCACAAAAGUAGCUACAAUGUUAAAUUUAGAACAAAUUGGCUUGUGUUUCCUUAGAUAUAUUUAAACAGAAUAAGUGCACCUACUUAGAGAAAAUGUACUUGCUGGAAUAGACUAUGUUCAUUAUGCUACACAUUGCCUAACUGGAAAUUAGUAGUGACAUUUACACUAUUAUUUUUGUUACAUAAAUCAGUGAUGUAAGAUGUACUUACUAUAAUAAGAAGGAAUAUUGUAACAAUCUGUAGCAGUCUAUAAUAUGAUGUGUAAUAAGGCAUGCUAUAAGAGACUGUGUAGCAUAUGUUGUAAUAAGCUGUAGAGUAGAUCUAUCCUGUAAUAGAGAUUAUCUCAAAAACGAACUGCAGGUGCAAAAGUGGUGUCUCAGUUGCAAAUAAGUAGCAUUUUGUAUUUGUGUCAAUAAGUUGUCACUAAACCACUUAUUUUUAUGUUCGAUUUUCAUUUCAUUUUUAUUUAAUGCUGCAUCUGACAUGUUCCUUGUUCUAGGCAAUACGUAUGUGAUGGUGAGUGUGAUUUAAAACACAUUAGGACUUAAUCAAGAACUGUGGAAAAAUAACUAGGAAAUUGCCAACUUUAGACCAGAAUAAUCAAACUGGAAAAAUCUUUAACUCCCAUUUAAAUUUGCAGAUCAGCUAUUUAGCCUACAAUUUGCAGCUCCCUUGUCAAAUCACCACACUCCCAGUUUAGUGAAUACAUCUAUUCAUUUCUAAACACACCGUACAAUAGCAACCAGGG